UCCUUCGUGGUGUAAUGGUCAGCACACUCGGCGCGUAUUCGAGAGGUCCGUGGUUCGAGUCCCGGCGAGGGCA
This 73-nucleotide transfer RNA is filed under the name Stegodyphus mimosarum. It matches the Rfam family "tRNA". Rfam says of the family: Transfer RNA (tRNA) molecules are approximately 80 nucleotides in length. Their secondary structure includes four short double-helical elements and three loops (D, anti-codon, and T loops). Lineage: Eukaryota; Metazoa; Arthropoda; Arachnida; Araneae; Eresidae. The record is from Rfam by way of RNAcentral.